CUUAGUUUGUCAGUUGAAGAACAGAAUUCAUUGAGACGAGCCCUUAAACAGUACACUCCUCGUAUUGAAGUCGACUUAAUGAACUUUUUACAGAACAAGAAAGAGCGACAGCGCUCGAAGUCCUCUUAUGACCCAUCUGAUGUUGUUGGAACAUCUUCAGAGGAAGGAUAUAUUGGUGUGUCAAAGAGUCAGUUCUUUGGAAGGUAUUCUGCUGGUUCCAUUGAUGGUGAUGGUGGCAGGAAAUGGAGUUCUACCCAAGAAUCAACCCUGAUCACUAGCAUUGGCCAAGCAGCUUCUGAUGAAAAUCAGGAGAACUUGUAUCACGAUUUUGAGAAUGGUUCUAAUGUUGAUAUUCAUAGUUCAAAAACUAGGGAUUUUUCCUACAUGGUCAAUUCUACCAUACAGAAUGUGGGACCCCAGGCUGGCUGCCUUGAAAAUGUGGACAACAGCCUGAAUUUGGAGGGUUUGUCUACUCGUCAUCUGGACAUUAACGGACUGAUGAGUUCUGAAGCUUUGGUGGAUGCUGAAGGCAUUCAGCAUGAAAAUGAUGCCUCGCUUGACUUGGACCUUAAUCAUCAUAAGCCUGAAGCUGUAAAGAUCAACUCUUUUUCAGAUUCAGGUCCUAGCAUUCCCCAAAUUCUUC
This 643-nucleotide unclassified non-coding RNA is filed under the name Hevea brasiliensis (rubber tree). The record is from RNAcentral. Lineage: Eukaryota; Viridiplantae; Streptophyta; Magnoliopsida; Malpighiales; Euphorbiaceae.